This 395-nucleotide ribosomal RNA is filed under the name uncultured bacterium. RNAcentral's name for it is "partial 16S ribosomal RNA". It matches the Rfam family "Bacterial small subunit ribosomal RNA", at positions 338 to 730 of the family's 1533-position model. The record is from RNAcentral.
CCUACGGGAGGCAGCAGUGAGGAAUAUUGGUCAAUGGGCGCGAGCCUGAACCAGCCAAGUAGCGUGAAGGAUGACUGCCCUACGGGUUGUAAACUUCUUUUAUAAAGGAAUAAAGUGAGGCACGUGUGCCUCUUUGAAUGUACUUUAUGAAUAAGGAUCGGCUAACUCCGUGCCAGCAGACGCGGUAAUACGGAGGAUCCGAGCGUUAGCCGGAUUUAAUGGGGUUAAAGGGAGCGUAGAUGGGUUGUUAAGUCAGUUGUGAAAGUUUGCGGCUCAACCGUAAAAUUGCAAUUGAAACUGGCAGCCUUGAGUGCAGUUGAGGUAGGCGGAAUUCGUGGUGUAGCGGUGAAAUGCUUAGAUAUCACGAAGAACUCCGAUUGCGAAGGCAGCUUACU